Molecule: long non-coding RNA, 581 nt
Filed under: Homo sapiens (human)
Lineage: Eukaryota; Metazoa; Chordata; Mammalia; Primates; Hominidae
Description: non-protein coding JPX:4
Rfam family: JPX transcript, XIST activator conserved region 1 (bases 9-143)
Source: RNAcentral
CUAUGCCCUAGGGCUAGUGGAAGACUUAAGAUGGCGGCGUUUGCACGGAGUGCAAUCACUGCGUCCUUACGGGGGUUGCAAGGCGUCCGAAGUAUGAGUCCACUAACAAAAGUCCAGAAACUCGCCAGUUAAUAGUAUUGUGUCUCUUCAAAAUAUCGGAGAAUAAUUUCUUUCUCGCUGAUCGCCUAACUUCUACUGACGAAGCUUGGAAGUUGCAGAAGAUGGAGUUCGCUCUUGUUGCCCAGGCUGGAAUGCAAUGGCAUGACCUUGGCUCACUGCAACCUCUGCCUCCCCAGUUCAAGUGGUUCUCCUGCCUCAGCCUCCCGAGUAGCUGAGAUUACAGGUACUGGCUCCUGUAUCACCCAGCUCUGGAGUUGAAAGAGCUCUUCAUUCCUGAGUCUCCUGUACCACUGAGAAUAGGCUGGAGUGCAGUGGCGCAAUCUCGGCUCUCUGCAACCUUCACCUCCCGUGUUCAAGUGAUUCUCCUGCCUCAGCCUCCUGAAUACCUGAGAUUACAAGCAUGCACCACCACGCCCGUCUAAUUUUGUAUUUUCACUAGAGACGGGGUUUCUCCAUGUUGG